RNAcentral lists this long non-coding RNA (6873 nucleotides) under Homo sapiens (human). RNAcentral's name for it is "non-protein coding THUMPD3-AS1:69". Lineage: Eukaryota; Metazoa; Chordata; Mammalia; Primates; Hominidae. The record is from RNAcentral.
GCCGGCCGAGACUUCUGGAUGGCGGCGGCCGCGGCUCCGCCCCGGGUUCCCACCGCCUGAAGGGCGAGACAAGCCCGACCUGCUACAGGCACUCGUGGGGGUGGGGGAGGAGCGGGGGUCGGUCCGGCUGGUUUGUGGGUGGGAGGCGCUUGUUCUCCAAAAACCGGCGCGAGCUGCAAUCCUGAGGGAGCUGCGGUGGAGGAGGUGGAGAGAAGGCCGCACCCUUCUGGGCAGGGGGAGGGGAGUGCCGCAAUACCUUUAUGGGAGUUCUCUGCUGCCUCCCGUCUUGUAAGGACCGCCCUGGGCCUGGAAGAAGCCCUCCCUCCUUUCCUCCUCGCGUGAUCUCGUCAUCGCCUCCAUGUCGAGUCGCUUCUCGAUUAUGGGCGGGAUUCUUUUGCCUAGGCUUAAGGGGCUAACUUGGUCCCUGGGCGUUGCCCUGCAGGGGAGUGAGCAGCUGUAAGAUUUGAGGGGCGACUCCGAUUAGUUUAUCUUCCCACGGACUAGAGUUGGUGUCGAGGUUAUUGUAAUAAGGGUGGGGUAGGGAAAUGGAGCUUAGUCAUUCACCUGGGGCUGAUUUUAUGCAACGAGACUGCGGAUUAUCACUACUUAUCAUUUUUGGAGCAUUUUUCUAGAGACAGACAUAAAGCAUGAUCACCUGAGUUUUAUACCAUUUGAGACCCUUGCUGCACCACCAAAGUGUAGCAUCAGGUUAAAUCUUAAUAGAAAAAUUUUAGCUUUUGCUUGAGAAACCAGUGCUUCCCUCCCUCACCCUCUCUCCCCAGGCUCUCUACCCCUUUGCAUCCCUACCAGGCAUCUUAGCAACUCUCACUCAUACUUGAUCCCAUUUUCCAUUUGUUGUACUUGCUCCUCUAGUAUUCAGACAUAGCACUAGCUUUCUCCCUCUCUUGAUCUUGGGUAGCCUGGUGUCUCGCGAAACCAGACAGAUUGGUUCCACCACAAAUUAAGGCUUGAGCUGGGGCUUGACUCUUACCCAGCAGUGCUUUUAUUCCUCCCUAGUUCACGUUCUUAAAUGUUUAUCUUGAUUUUCAUUUUAUCCUUUUUCCUUAGCUGGGAUUCUGUCCCUGACCGUCUUCACAGUCCAGGUGAUCUUGACUACUGCUUUACAGAGAAUUGGAUCUGAGGUUAGGCAACAUCUCCCUUUUUCUUCCUCUAAAUACCUCUCAUUUCUGUUCUUACCAGUUAGUAACUGAUCUCAGAUGCCUGUGUGAUAGCUUCCAAAUUGCUGUCUCUGUCUUUAGUGUUAUCUUUUGAUCCAUCUUACAUCUUGUUAGGAUGAUUGUCCUAAAGGAAGAUAGAGCAUGAAAAUGACAGGUGAAACUCCAUUACUGGCUUGUACUGUUUACAGCAAGUUGUCUAACCCGCGGGCCGCAUGGGACCCAGGACAGCUUUGAAUGCGACCCAACACAAAUUCGUAAACUUUCUUAAAGUUUUAGGAGUUUUUUUUGCGGGGUGUUUUUUUUGUUGUUGUUGUCUGUUUUUUUUUUUUGCUCAUCAGCUGUCCUUUAUAUGUGGCCCAAGACAGUUCUUGCAGUGUGGCCCAGGGAAGCCGAAAGAUUGGACACCCCUGGUUUACAGGAUGAAUUCUGUUCUCGUGAAUGUGAUGCAUAAGGUCCCUGGAUAGACUUUCCUCAAUUUAACAGCUUUUUCAUUUUUCACUAUUUUCCACAUACUACACACACAAAUAUGACCUCUCUCCUGAAGUCACAUGGAAUGAAUUGCAGUUACCCAAAUCAUAGAGACGUCAUAUAUCUUUGUGGGGUGGUUCUUUUUGGAAUGCUACCCUUGCUGCUUUUAAUCCUGCAGAUUCAAAUGUCAUCUCCCCUUUGGUCAUGCCUUCCAUGGUCUGUUGUUCUAUGACCCAAACUGCCCUUUUAAAAAAGCAGUUUUCUUCUGACUCCUGAGCAGUUUGUACUGCGUGGGUCAUAGUAAUUCUGGGGUUGUUGUCAUUGCUGAUUUAAAUUACCUUAACUAUUCUGAGCUUUUUGAAGGAAUAGUGUCUUGUACUCCUGAGCUCCUAGUAUACUCUGAUGUCUAGCCAACUUUAAGUAAAUGGAGUGAGCGACAUGUAAAUGUCUUUAUGGUUUGACAUUUUAUUAAUCUUGAGCAUUGGAAAAGUGGCUGGUAUGACUAAAGAACUGAAUUUUUAUUUUUUAUCUAAUUUGAAUUGCAACUGUGGACAGUAUAGCUGUAGCCCCGGACUUGUUCUGUGGAUUACAGAAUACGUGGACAUUGAUGGUUUUCUCUUUUUACUGAGCAGUAAGGAAAUAAAAGCUGAAGCUCUCUGGCCCAUUACAUUUCAUUUAACUGCUUGUUUUGUUUUAUUUAUUAUAUAUUUAGCUGAAAGCUAAGUCCAACAAACCAUUUUUAAAGAUGUGCCUGCCUUGGACAACAGUGAAAGCAAGCGUUAAUGAGUUUGGAUUUCAAAAAAAAAUGCAUAAUGAAUUUUAGGGAGGUGUGGAAACAGGAAGAGAACUAGAACUGGAAGUAAAGCAUUGAAGAUGUGACUGAAUUGCUGCAAUCUCAUGAUCAAAUUUGAAUGGAUGAGGAGUUGCUUUUUAGGGAUGAGCAAAGAAAGUGGUUUCUCGAGAUGGAAUCUACUGGUGAAGUUGCUGUGAACAUUGUUAAAAUGCCAAUAAAGGAUUUAGGAAUUACAGAAACCUGGUUGAUAAAGCAGUGCCAGGGUGUGAGAGAGUUGACUUCAAUUUUGAAAUAAGUUCCACUGGCUGGGUGUGGUGGCUCACACCUGCAAUCCCAGUACUUUAGGAGGCCGAGACUGGUAGAUCAUUUGAGGUCAGGAGUUCAAGACCAGCCUUGCCAACAUGGUGAAACCCCACCUCUACCAAAUUAGCCAGGUGUGGUGCACACCUGUAGUCCCAGCUACUUGGGAAGCUGAGGCAGGAGAAUCUCUUGAACCAGGGAGGAGGAGGUUGCAGUAAGCCGAGAUGGCGCCCCUGCACUCCAGCCUGGGUGACAGAGUGAGACCUUGCGUUUAAAAAAAAAAAAAAAGGAAAAGGAAAAAAAAGUUCUACUGUGGGUAAAAUGCUAUCAUGCUAUCAAACAGCAUCACAUGCUACAGAGAAGUCUUGUGAAAGGAUGUCAGUGUGGCAAACUUCAUUGUCUUUUAAGAAAUUGCCACAGCUAUCGUAAUCUUCAACCACCACCACCCUGAUGAGUCAGUAGCCAUCGUUAACGUUGGCGUAAGACCCUCCACCAGCAAAAAGAUUGUUAGCAUUUUUUUAGCAGUGAUGUAUUUAUCAAUUAUACAUAAUGCUAUUGUACACUUCUUAAUAGACUAUGGUAUAGUGUAACCAUAAUUUAUGCACUGGGAAACCAACAAAUUCAUGAGAUUCGCUUUAUUGUAGUGCUCUGGAAUUGAGCCUGCCGUGUUUCUGAGGUAUACCUGUGUAUUUAGUAUGUUCCUUGUAUAUAAAACCCCAUUUUAUAGGGUAGGAAACUAAGGCUUAGAGUUUGAGCAAUUUUCCCAUAGAUAACACCAAUAAAUUGAGGGCUGCAGAGACCACUUAAGUGGUUCUCUUAACAGUAGUCUAGACAUGACGUAAUGAGAUUUGGCUUAGGAGUGACAAUGGUAAGGAAGUUAAAGGAUUCAGGAACCAAAUACCAGUUAUUGAGAAGAAAGAAUGGCCUCAAAACAUCACUUCUCAAGGAAGCCUUGAUACCCUCACCCUUACUACACUGUAUCCUCCAUUUGAAUGUUGUCAAGAGCUCUUCUCACAAUUGUAAAUAAUAAUUGUGUAAUUUUGUUUUUUUUUUCCUACUUUAGGUUGCUCCUUGAGGGCAGGACAGUUCUUAUGGCUUUAUCCGUUGCGUAAGCACAGAGAGGUCUGCGAGGUCAAAACUAUUGUCAUGAUAGCAAGAUGCCUGUCUUUUUCAUUUAUUCUCACGGUGUGCAGAGGCUACAUGAUGUGUGAUGACAUCCUCAUUGAUGUUAAUGAAUGGUGCUAUACUUGAAUUUUCUAAGGUGUCAUUAGGUAGGUUUAGGUAUGCAUACUUGUUUUUAGAAAUUAUUUUUUUCCUUUUUCCCAUUUUUAGAAAUCAACUCAUUUUUUAGGUUAUGCCUUCAGUAAUCUUUGCAACCUCAAUAUUGUGUAAUGGUUACUUUAAAAUACUGUAGUUUUCUUUGUGCCUAAGUAUAAACAUAAGUACAUUUUGUUGUUUUGUUUGCAAUAGUGGUUUAAAUAUUUUCCCAAAAUAUCCAAAUUUAAAAAUUCUACAACUUUAGAAUUUAAUAAAUUUAUUCUAAAAUAUUUAUAUAUUUUUUCAUUUAAGAAUGGAUCGGCUUAAAAAGACUGCUUCUCAUUUACUUACUGGCUAUACCAUCUGUAUACUAAUAAAAAACAAGAUUUGAUUUGGAAGGACUGACUCAAACUAACGAAAAUAUGAAACCUGUCUUUCUGCUUUGGAGAUAUUUACCUAAUCAUGUUCUGCAGUAGAAUAAUUUAGUUCUUUUGUCUUUUUUUGGAGAUGAGGUCUUGCUGUGUUGCCCAGGCUAUUCACAGCUGCCAUCAUAGUGAACUACAGCCUGAAACUCCUGGGUUCAAGAGAUCCUUCUGCCUCAGCCUCCUGAGUAGCUGGAACUAUAGGCAUGCGCCACCAAGCCUGGGCUUUUAAAAAAAUUUUAAAAAGAAUUUUGAGACAGGAUCUUGCCAUGUUGCUCAGGCUAGUCUUCAACUCCUAGCCCUGAGUGAUCUUGCUUUGGGCCUCUCAAAAUGUUGAGUUAAUAGGCGUGAGCCACCAUACCCAGCCAAAAAUUUUUUUAGAGAUGGGAAUGGAAUGAUCUUGAAUAGUGUUGGUGCCACCUAUGUUGUGGCAUCAUUUUGAAACCAAUCAUUCAGAGUGCUUUUUUUGGUAAGGCAUUAUUUUUUAAUGCAGGUAUGCCACUACUGGGAAAAAAAAAAAAACAGGUUUUAAAGCUAGAAAUGAAAAGCUACUUAAGUAUCUUAAAGGAUAAGUUACUUUAUUAUACACUAGAAACAUACACAAUAGCUGAAAAACUUAAAAAAUCUCACACUGCUGAAUGUCUCUGCUGGCUGAAGUGUAAGUAAAAGAUCAUAGUAGUGCCGCUGUUGAGUGAUAAAGCAACUUGUCAUUAAAGAUGUGUGUGCAGACAUGGAUUCUGAGUUAAUAUCUCAUCUGUAGAAGUAUAUAUUUGUCCCUUGCUUUGGGAUUGGUUUCUGGACAGCACUCCCCCACCCUUGCUGGCCAUUUGCCAAGGACACCAAAACCCAAGGAUGUUGAAUUCCCUUUUAUAAAAUGGCGCUGUAUCUGCAUACAACUUACACACAUCCUCCCAUAUACUUUAAAUCAUUUCCAGAUUUCUUAUACUUCAUACAAUGUGAAUGCUAUAUAAAUAGUUGUUACAUUGUGUACUUAUAUUUGUACUAUUGUAUUAAAUAUUCUCAAAUAUUUUCAAGCACAUUUGGUUGAAUCUGCAGAUGCAGAACCUGAGGAUAUGGAGGGCUGACUGUGCUAAUACGUUAUCAAUGGAUGCGUGCAUAAACAUGGCUGGACUUGUUACUUGGCUUGUAUUUGCCAGGCAUCAGCACCAACUAGUUAAAGAUACUCUUACGUGAAAGCUUGGCAACAAACACAUGUCCUGAAAUAAUGCAAGUGUAGAAUAACUUUUUAAAAUCUCAUGGUUUAUGCUAAACUAUAUGUUGACAUAAGAGUGGUGAUAAGGCAACAGUAGGUAAAAGUAAAAUUUCAGGCACCUUGGCACAAACUGUGGCAGUGGCAUCAAACUCUAAGUUAUUUUUCACUGCCAUGCAUUUGUGGUGUGAACCCCCACAAAAGAAAAAAACCAGUUUCACUCAAGAAUGUCCUUGUGAAAGCAGUGACAUUUUGUUAAAUCUUAAACCCUACAGUACAUAACUUUUUGAAAUGGUUGUCUCAAGAAAAAGCACUCAUGUAAGCUGAAUUAUCUGCUAUUUCCUUGGAGCCUAACAACUGACAGCAAUUGUUUUCAAUGAUAAAAUCCAAACGUUGAGUCAAAAUCAGAAUUUCGGGAAAACUUGUGUCUAAUAUCAGGAACUUGACAGCUUCCCAAUACUUCAUGAGAUAGUGAUAUUGAAAAUAAUUUUUUUUUUUUUUUGGGACAUCUGGCUGACUGCAACCUCUGUCUCCUGGGUUCAAGCAAUUCUCCUGCCUCAGCCUCCUGCAUAACUGGGACUACAGGGAAGCACCAUUUUCCACAAAACUCUCAAGAAGGACUUGUUGCAACUGGAAAAGCAAUUAAAUGUGAAUCGUGAUCCAGGAGAAAGUAACAACUCACAUAACUCCCAAAUUAAAAGUUUUCCAAAGAUAUAUCAUUUUUUUUCUCUUGGCCUUUUAAGAAACUAGCCAACAAAUACUCUUGACAGGUUUGUGUUUGGUUUUGAAAACACACACCUUAGUGUACUGAAAGAAAAACAAUUUCUUUUAAUUUGGUUUGUUGGUCCCACACCCCAUCUAUCAAUGUAUGUGCUAUUUACAAAUAAGUUCUAUACAGUAUUUUUGCAGUACCUUUGAUAAUUCCUAGACCUCUAUUUUCAUUCUGUGUAUUAAUGUGAAUAACAGAUGGAUAUUUUAAUAUUUAAGGCAGAUGGUAAACUUUCCUAUAGGUCUUGUGAGACUUCGUCUUAUAGGCUGAACACCAUUCACAAAAUGUAAUAAUGCUUCAUUCCUUCAGGUUGAGGUAAAGAACUUGAGCAACUGGAUUAGCAAAGCUGCAAAGAAUGAAAUGUGGCCUAAGAUGUAAUUAUGUUCUCUGCCCUUCCUUUGGGCCAGGGUAGUUUUGCACUUGACACAAUGGAAAAUAGGCCAUAAAGCCUGAAAAUAAAAUGUUCUAAACCCCAA